Molecule: ribosomal RNA, 115 nt
Filed under: Sediminicoccus rosea
Lineage: Bacteria; Pseudomonadati; Pseudomonadota; Alphaproteobacteria; Acetobacterales; Roseomonadaceae
Also listed under: 3 other names
Source: RNAcentral
CCUGGUGCCUAUCGCGGAGUUGAAACACCCGAUCCCAUCCCGAACUCGGCCGUGAAACACUCCAGCGCCCAUGGUACUGCCGCUCAAGCGGCGGGAGAGUCGGUCAGCGCCAGGC